UAAUGGGUCAGCGACUUAUAUUCUGUAGCAAGGUUAACCGAAUAGGGGAGCCGAAGGGAAACCGAGUCUUAACUGGGCGUUAAGUUGCAGGGUAUAGACCCGAAACCCGGUGAUCUAGCCAUGGGCAGGUUGAAGGUUGGGUAACACUAACUGGAGGACCGAACCGACUAAUGUUGAAAAAUUAGCGGAUGACUUGUGGCUGGGGGUGAAAGGCCAAUCAAACCGGGAGAUAGCUGGUUCUCCCCGAAAGCUAUUUAGGUAGCGCCUCGUGAAUUCAUCUCCGGGGGUAGAGCACUGUUUCGGCAAGGGGGUCAUCCCGACUUACCAACCCGAUGCAAACUGCGAAUACCGGAGAAUGUUAUCACGGGAGACACACGGCGGGUGCUAACGUCCGUCGUGAAGAGGGAAACAACCCAGACCGCCAGCUAAGGUCCCAAAGUCAUGGUUAAGUGGGAAACGAUGUGGGAAGGCCCAGACAGCCAGGAUGUUGGCUUAGAAGCAGCCAUCAUUUAAAGAAAGCGUAAUAGCUCACUGGUCGAGUCGGCCUGCGCGGAAGAUGUAACGGGGCUAAACCAUGCACCGAAGCUGCGGCAGCGACACUAUGUGUUGUUGGGUAGGGGAGCGUUCUGUAAGCCUGUGAAGGUGGCCUGUGAGGGUUGCUGGAGGUAUCAGAAGUGCGAAUGCUGACAUAAGUAACGAUAAAGCGGGUGAAAAGCCCGCUCGCCGGAAGACCAAGGGUUCCUGUCCAACGUUAAUCGGGGCAGGGUGAGUCGACCCCUAAGGCGAGGCCGAAAGGCGUAGUCGAUGGGAAACAGGUUAAUAUUCCUGUACUUGGUGUUACUGCGAAGGGGGGACGGAGAAGGCUAUGUUGGCCGGGCGACGGUUGUCCCGGUUUAAGCGUGUAGGCUGGUUUUCCAGGCAAAUCCGGAAAACCAAGGCUGAGGCGUGAUGACGAGGCACUACGGUGCUGAAGCGACAAAUGCCCUGCUUCCAGGAAAAGCCUCUAAGCAUCAGGUAACAUCAAAUCGUACCCCAAACCGACACAGGUGGUCAGGUAGAGAAUACCAAGGCGCUUGAGAGAACUCGGGUGAAGGAACUAGGCAAAAUGGUGCCGUAACUUCGGGAGAAGGCACGCUGAUAUGUAGGUGAAGCGACUUGCUCGUGGAGCUGAAAUCAGUCGAAGAUACCAGCUGGCUGCAACUGUUUAUUAAAAACACAGCACUGUGCAAACACGAAAGUGGACGUAUACGGUGUGACGCCUGCCCGGUGCCGGAAGGUUAAUUGAUGGGGUUAGCGGUAACGCGAAGCUCUUGAUCGAAGCCCCGGUAAACGGCGGCCGUAACUAUAACGGUCCUAAGGUAGCGAAAUUCCUUGUCGGGUAAGUUCCGACCUGCACGAAUGGCGUAAUGAUGGCCAGGCUGUCUCCACCCGAGACUCAGUGAAAUUGAACUCGCUGUGAAGAUGCAGUGUACCCGCGGCAAGACGGAAAGACCCCGUGAACCUUUACUAUAGCUUGACACUGAACAUUGAGCCUUGAUGUGUAGGAUAGGUGGGAGGCUUUGAAGUGUGG
This 1570-nucleotide ribosomal RNA is filed under the name Escherichia coli. RNAcentral describes it as "partial 23S ribosomal RNA". It matches the Rfam family "Bacterial large subunit ribosomal RNA", at positions 613 to 2167 of the family's 2925-position model. Lineage: Bacteria; Pseudomonadati; Pseudomonadota; Gammaproteobacteria; Enterobacterales; Enterobacteriaceae. RNAcentral also lists the same sequence under 1 other name. The record is from RNAcentral.